Long non-coding RNA from Papaver somniferum (opium poppy), 2323 nucleotides. RefSeq lists it as uncharacterized. The record is from RefSeq and is a predicted model, not a curated record. The transcript has 3 exons. NCBI's taxonomy places the organism in Eukaryota, Viridiplantae, Streptophyta, Magnoliopsida, Ranunculales, Papaveraceae.
CCGCUUCUCGACCAGUUUUCUUCCUCUCUGCAACUAGAAAAAGGGUGAGUUUCCAUGAUAAUUCUUUUGAUUCUUCUUUUAUCACGACGAGUUACUGAAGUUACUCACCAUGAAGACGGCUAUAAACAUUAAGAGUGAAGAAGAAUAGGAUUAUGAAUAUGGAUUUCGUGGUUAAGAAUGGCUUUGAUGGAGUUGUUGUUAAGAAUGGUUUUGAUGGAGUUGUUGUUGUGGUUAAAAAUGAUUAGGUGGUGCUGUUUUGCUGUUGGUGGUGGUGCUGCUGCUUGCUGUUGGUGAGGAUGGGUAUUUAGAAUACCAGAUGGCUGAAGUAAGGGAGAAGAUGGUGGUGAUUCUGUGGGUUGGAAGGAGCUACUGUUGCAUCUUGAACUGGUGGUGUUGUAGUUGGUUGAACUAUUGGAUUUGUAUGUGAGAUUGCAAUGGUUUGCUGAGAGAAUGGAACUGAACGCACUGGUGUUGUGGUAGUUGUUGAUUGCAGUGGUGAAGGACAGGGUAGAGUUAUAGAGCUUGGUGUUGAACUGUGGUUGCAAAUGCAGAUGAGAUUGAUGCUUAAUGUUUGAAUGACGUAGCUUGAGGCUUUGUGUAACAGAUGACUGAAGUAACGGAGAAGUUAGCACCGAAAAUUCAGCCCAGUUCAGGAUCGUGGCACCACAUUCACUCAAGGGUUUACCGCUUCUUCUCUUGGGGUAUAGUCACUGUCACCACCGUCGCUAUCACCACUUCAUCACCAUCACCUCAACAACGGAAGAGGGGUAUUUAGAACAAAACUCGGACUGUUUUUUCAAAAACAGUUAAGUCGGAUGGAGAAAGACCAGUUUGUCAUCACUAAUUUAAUGUAUGGUCAUUUUGUAAACCAAAUUAAGAAAGGGUGACCAUUUUGUAAAACACCCUUUUCAGAACCCCUCUUCUCAUCUUCUCCAAACCCAUCACCGCCGUCACCACCACUUUCUGUCUCUAAUCUUCUCACCAUUCUUCAACUGUUUCAGUAGCAAUAUACAGACCCAUCACCGCUGCCACCACCAUUUUUGUCCCUAAUCUUCUCACCAUUGUUCGACCGUUUCAGAAUCCCAUUGUUACACCUGUUUCUAACAAAUGAUACAAACAUCAAAAUCGAAAAAAUUCACCCCCAUCCACGAACCCUAAAUUACCAACACCACCGCCCCUGCAAUUAAACUUUCAAUAAAAAUCAACAAAGAUCUCUAUAAAAUAUUGUUCUUAUUACUUCUUCCCUUGUCAAACCAUUGGGGAUUUUCAGAUCCCAAAAUUGCCUUCAAUUUCUUUGUUAGGGUUUUUAGAUCCCCAAAUUAAUUAACCAUCAACUUAUUUAUACAUCUUUACUGAGUUGCGGCGAUAGGUUUUUGAUCUUCGAGAUUAAUCUCUUUUGUAUUUCUUCUAAUUUGCAGAGGUGAUUUUCUAAUUUUAGUUGGCUGAGUAAACCGAUCUUGUUGCUGGGUGAUUAGGGAAUUAAUAUGGGAAGAAAGACAACCUAAACAGUCAACUAGAGUCAACGUCGUUUUUAAGUACCAAACUCUAAGUUUGACAAAUGUUAGACCAAACAUUAACAUUGGACAAAAUGUAAGUACCAAAAACCAAAUAACCCUUCUUUCUACAUUUUCCCACGAAGGAAACUUGAAAGACUGAGAAGUAAAGGGAUGUUUCUCCAUUAAUUGCAGCAUUUGGGUUCCAAGAAAAACCCUUGGGUUUCACAUUUUCACCUAUAAAGCUUCCAUCUUGAAACCAUUUUGAGACACGGAACAGACAUUAAGAGAGGUUGGAACUUUGGAAGAAAUUGGAAACUUUGAGAGAGUUCAUAUACAGACCAGAGAUUAGUUAAUAAUGAACUUAAAGACCCAAAUUGGUAUCCUUUUUAGACAACAUAUUGCUUAUUGUUGUUUUUGAACUUCUAACCAUCCUUAAUUUUUGGAUGCCAAACAUCAACUGGAAUUAGAGGUUGCACUAAUGAAAGGGAGAUUGGAAGCCUUGAAGCACGUUGCAGGUGCUGACGCAGAUUGUGAAUUGAAGAAGAAUAUCAAAGAUUUGACUGUAUCUUUGAAAGACAAGAUAGAAGAACUAGAAGCCAUGAUCUUUGACUCUACUAGUCAAGGAACGCCAAGGCACCAAUGAGCUGCAGGAAGCUCGAAAGGAACUAAUCAAUCAACUGAGAGAAAUGGGUAAUGGUGGUGCCAUUGGAGUUAAGAGAAUGGGAGGCAUUGAUUUUAAACCUUUCCAGGAUGCGUGCAAGAAGAAGUAUAGUGCCGAUGAAGCAGACGUCAAGGCUUCUCAACUUCUUUCUGAUUGGGAAAAUGAA